RNAcentral lists this ribosomal RNA (253 nucleotides) under uncultured bacterium. Its description in RNAcentral is "partial 16S ribosomal RNA". It matches the Rfam family "Bacterial small subunit ribosomal RNA", at positions 524 to 776 of the family's 1533-position model. The record is from RNAcentral.
UACGUAGGGUGCGAGCGUUAAUCGGAAUUACUGGGCGUAAAGCGUGCGCAGGCGGUUCGUUGUGUCGGUGGUGAAAGCCCCGGGCUCAACCUGGGAAUGGCCAUGGAAACUGGCGAACUGGAGUGUGGCAGAGGGGGGUGGAAUUCCGCGUGUAGCAGUGAAAUGCGUAGAUAUGCGGAGGAACACCGAUGGCGAAGGCAAUCCCCUGGGCCUGCACUGACGCUCAUGCACGAAAGCGUGGGGAGCAAACAGG